CCUACGGGAGGCAGCAGUGAGGAAUAUUGGUCAAUGGUCGGGAGACUGAACCAGCCAAGCCGCGUGAGGGAGGAAGGUACAGAGUAUCGUAAACCUCUUUUGUCAGGGAACAAAUGCGGGGACGUGUCCCCGGAUGAGUGUACCUGACGAAAAAGCAUCGGCAAACUCCGUGCCAGCAGCCGCGGUAAUACGGAGGAUGCGAGCGUUAUCCGGAUUUAUUGGGUUAAAAGGGUGCGUAGGCGGACAGUCAAGUCAGCGGUAAAAAUGCGGUGCUAAACGCCGUACAGCCGUUGAAACUGGGAGUCUUGAGUGGGCGAGAGGGAUGCGGAAUGCGUGGUGUAGCGGUGAAAUGCAUAGAGAUCACGAAGAACACCGAUUGCGAAGGCAGCAUACCGGCGACCUACUGACGCUGAGGCACGAAAGCGUGGGUAUCGAACAGGAUUAGAUACCCGAGUAGUC
RNAcentral lists this ribosomal RNA (459 nucleotides) under uncultured bacterium. RNAcentral's name for it is "partial 16S ribosomal RNA". It matches the Rfam family "Bacterial small subunit ribosomal RNA", at positions 338 to 795 of the family's 1533-position model. The record is from RNAcentral.